RNAcentral lists this unclassified non-coding RNA (233 nucleotides) under fungal sp. RNAcentral's name for it is "partial internal transcribed spacer region". The stretch from base 1 to 46 matches the Rfam family "Eukaryotic small subunit ribosomal RNA", at positions 1786 to 1831 of the family's 1831-position model. The record is from RNAcentral. Lineage: Eukaryota; Fungi.
AAGUCGUAACAAGGUUUCCGUAGGUGAACCUGCGGAAGGAUCAUUAACACUUUUUCAUUUUAUUGAAAAUUUAUUUUUCAAUAAUUUACUUACCCACAUUUUUGGAUGAAUUAUUUCUUUUUUAUUCUUUUUUAAAUUUUAAACCCAAAUACCAUAUUAUUUCUAACAUUUAUACACAAAAAGUUUAAGAAAAACAUAAAAAACAACUCUUAACAACGGAUAUCUAGGAUCUC